Non-coding RNA from Cricetulus griseus (Chinese hamster), 107 nucleotides. The record is from Rfam. NCBI's taxonomy places the organism in Eukaryota, Metazoa, Chordata, Mammalia, Rodentia, Cricetidae.
UUUAUUUUGUUCCUCCACAUUAAGGUAACUGCAAACAUAUUGCUGUGAGAGAAGAAAAGGUAAGUCUCCAGCUUUAGUCUGCAAUAACUUAAAGAAAUAGACCCAGG